This 253-nucleotide ribosomal RNA is filed under the name uncultured bacterium. Its description in RNAcentral is "partial 16S ribosomal RNA". It matches the Rfam family "Bacterial small subunit ribosomal RNA", at positions 524 to 776 of the family's 1533-position model. The record is from RNAcentral.
UACGUAGGGUGCAAGCGUUGCCCGGAAUUAUUGGGCGUAAAGAGCUCGUAGGCGGUCUGUCGCGUCGGCUGUGAAAACCCGGAGCUCAACUCCGGGCCUGCAGUCGAUACGGGCAGACUGGAGUUCGGCAGGGGAGACUGGAAUUCCUGGUGUAGCGGUGAAAUGCGCAGAUAUCAGGAGGAACACCGGUGGCGAAGGCGGGUCUCUGGGCCGAUACUGACGCUGAGGAGCGAAAGCGUGGGGAGCGAACAGG